This 220-nucleotide long non-coding RNA is filed under the name Elaeis guineensis (African oil palm). RNAcentral's name for it is "long non-coding RNA (EGUI_LNC011937)". The record is from RNAcentral. Lineage: Eukaryota; Viridiplantae; Streptophyta; Magnoliopsida; Arecales; Arecaceae.
CUAGAGAAGAGAAGAAAGCCCUAAAACAAAAACCCUAAGAGGAGAAGAACCCAAGGAUAAAGUCAAGAAAACUUGACCUGAAGCUAAAGCGGGGCGAAGAAGAAACUCGGAGCUCCUAGUACUGUGGCAGCCUUUCAGUAGAACUUUUCGUUGCAGAGGAUAGUGACAAAUGCAAAGUAAAAGUCUGGUUGAAAGCGACUUUAUAUAUAUGACCCCUCAA